This 781-nucleotide ribosomal RNA is filed under the name uncultured fungus. RNAcentral describes it as "eukaryotic LSU rRNA". The stretch from base 1 to 241 matches the Rfam family "Eukaryotic small subunit ribosomal RNA", at positions 1593 to 1831 of the family's 1831-position model. Lineage: Eukaryota; Fungi. The record is from RNAcentral.
UUGCUCUUCAACGAGGAAUUCCUAGUAAGCGCAAGUCAUCAGCUUGCGUUGAUUACGUCCCUGCCCUUUGUACACACCGCCCGUCACUACUACCGAUUGAAUGGCUUAGUGAGGCUUCCGGAUUGGUUUAAAGAAGGGGGCAACCUCAUCUUGGAACUGAAAAGCUAGUCAAACUCGGUCAUUUAGAGGAAGUAAAAGUCGUAACAAGGUCUCCGUAGGUGAACCUGCGGAGGGAUCAUUACACAAAUAUGAAGGCGGGCUGGAACCUCUCGGGGUUACAGCCUUGCUGAAUUAUUCACCCUUGUCUUUUGCGUACUUCUUGUUUCCUUGGUGGGUUCGCCCACCACUAGGACAAACAUAAACCUUUUGUAAUUGCAAUCAGCGUCAGUAACAAAUUAAUAAUUACAACUUUCAACAACGGAUCUCUUGGUUCUGGCAUCGAUGAAGAACGCAGCGAAAUGCGAUAAGUAGUGUGAAUUGCAGAAUUCAGUGAAUCAUCGAAUCUUUGAACGCACAUUGCGCCCUUUGGUAUUCCAAAGGGCAUGCCUGUUCGAGCGUCAUUUGUACCCUCAAGCUUUGCUUGGUGUUGGGCGUCUUGUCUCUAGCUUUGCUGGAGACUCGCCUUAAAGUAAUUGGCAGCCGGCCUACUGGUUUCGGAGCGCAGCACAAGUCGCACUCUCUAUCAGCAAAGGUCUAGCAUCCAUUAAGCCUUUUUUUCAACUUUUGACCUCGGAUCAGGUAGGGAUACCCGCUGAACUUAAGCAUAUCAAUAAGCGGAGGA